UCCAUCAAUGGCGUAUACGGGUUGGAUACGUCGGCUCAUGGGCCGGGCAUAAAGCAUGUGUUGAAGGCCAGCAUGGAUGAUAACAGGCAUGAUUAUUACGCAUUAGGGGAGUAUGACCCGAUGACCGAUACAUGGACACCCGAUGACCCGGAAUUGGAUGUGGGUAUCGGGUUACGGCUUGAUUAUGGAAAGUAUUAUGCUUCAAAGACAUUUUAUGAUCAGGUUAAGAAAAGGAGGAUCCUAUAUGGUUGGAUUUCGGAAGGUG
Molecule: long non-coding RNA, 265 nt
Filed under: Vitis vinifera (wine grape)
Lineage: Eukaryota; Viridiplantae; Streptophyta; Magnoliopsida; Vitales; Vitaceae
Description: long non-coding RNA (VVIN_LNC005430)
Source: RNAcentral